UACGGAGGAUGCAAGCGUUAUCCGGAAUGAUUGGGCGUAAAGCGUCCGCAGGUGGCUAUGUAAGUCUGCUGUUAAAGAGUCUGGCUCAACCAGAUAAAGGCAGUGGAAACUACAUGGCUAGAGUGCGUUCGGGGCAGAGGGAAUUCCUGGUGUAGCGGUGAAAUGCGUAGAGAUCAGGAAGAACACCGGUGGCGAAAGCGGGUCUCUGGGCCGAUACUGACGCUGAGGAGCGAAAGCGUGGGGAGCGAACAGG
This 253-nucleotide ribosomal RNA is filed under the name uncultured bacterium. Its description in RNAcentral is "partial 16S ribosomal RNA". It matches the Rfam family "Bacterial small subunit ribosomal RNA", at positions 524 to 776 of the family's 1533-position model. The record is from RNAcentral.